This is a non-coding RNA of Momordica charantia (bitter melon), 774 nucleotides long. Lineage: Eukaryota; Viridiplantae; Streptophyta; Magnoliopsida; Cucurbitales; Cucurbitaceae. The record is from RefSeq and is a predicted model, not a curated record.
AUGAAAUUAAUUGAAAGAAAGUGUAAAGACAGCUUUGUUGGAUUCACUGUUCAUCUUUGUUUCACUAUAUCCAAUUUCAACUUUUUGGACGAAAGGAGGGUCGGAAACCACUCAAAUUAAGUAGGAAGGAGAAGAAACGUGCCGGAUUUGUUGGCUUUUUCUCUCUUUUUCACUUAAUUAACACUCGCCGCAAAGCAGCAGAAAAUUGCCAUGAUUAUGGUUAGGAGGAGCUAGCUUGCACAAUGGCCUCAAUUAAAAGGUUUAGAAGAGUUAAUGGGUCUUCGGUUUCCCGCCUACGUAGUGAUAGAGGCACUAUUUUGAAUUAGUUACUUUCCAACCUACCUGAAGUCUUUGUGAUAGAUAGAGAUUGGAGAGAGAGAGAGAUGUCAAUUGUCAACAGAGCAAUCAACCAUGGCGGGUCCCCUAUUCCAUAUAGAUUGAGAUUGAUGCACCCACAGUUUAUUGCUUUACUCUCUCUUAUGCCAACCUCAAAGUCUUUGAUCAACUUUCUUUAGAGCCAAACUUCUUCAGAUAUUGGCUAUGGAGUGAAUGGAAAUGUCAUGGCCCUUCGUUCUGCUUCCCAGUUUCUCUCUCCUUCACCACCACUCGGCCAUGGCGGACAUUCCUCAUCUCAGUUAAUGGAGUUGCACCUCUGAUCCUGAAGAUCUACAAAACCCAGAACUGGUUUAAAUUCCUUAGUGUCAGUACGGCGAGGUCGGCUUGAGGAAACUUGGCCGGAAAAGUGGGAGGAAGAGAGAAAUGGACCGGCCAAAU